CACACAAGAAUAUUUAUUUUCCAGUGCUCCUACCAUGUCAAAUAUGAUUGACAAACAUGUUUGCUUGUCAAGGGGAAGUGAAUGGAGUAAAGAAUAUUCUUUUCUUUGCACUUGCAUGUGAUUUUAAAAUGGAAAAUCAGGGAAUAGUGUUCACAGAAAGGUGGCCCACACAUAGCUCGAUAUAUGAAUUAUCCCAAGGGUGCAAGCAGUGCAAGUUUCCCCCACUGCUAUGCUUGGACAAUAUUCUGCAUGGACCAUAGCCAGUGGAAAGAGGACAAUCUAGGGCUCCGUGUGCAUUCAAUCCUUGGUUGCUCUGCUGAGACUCUCAAUCCACUUCAUAGAUAAUAUGGACCAGCUCCUCAAAGGUCUCUCCCAGCUCCCUAAAAUGUCUCUCCUACCUCCCAUUGAUUUCAGGUACCUAAAUACUUUGAGGGUCUGGUUGUAUAUGUCCACCUAACAAAAUCCCAUGUAAAAAAGCUGUCAUCCCAUUGUCAAUCACAUCUUUUUCCACAGAGUCACUAGAUUGCCAGUAAGAACGAAGUGGCCUGGAUCAAAUUCAAAUUGGUAUUUAGACUGAGAUCAUUUUUAUUUCCUGUCUGUUGCCUGGUUUAGAGUCUGGCUAAUAGGUGAAAUCAUAGAACUAGAAGGGACCUUGAGAGGUUAUCUAGGCCAGUCCCCUGCACUCAUGGCAGGACUAAGUCUUAUCUAGACCAUCCCUGACAGGUGUUUGUCCAACCUGCUCUUAAAAAUCUCCAAUGAUGAAGAUUCCACAACAUCCCUAGGCAAUUUAUUCCAGUGCUUAACCACCUUGACAGGAAGCUUUUCCUAAUGUCCAGCCUAAACCUCCCUUGCUGCAAUUUAAGCCCAUUGCUUUGUGUCCUAUCCUCAGGGGUUAAGAAGAACAAUUCUUCUCCCUCCUCCUUAUAACAUCCUUUCAUAUCCCCUCUCAGUCUUCUUUUCCAGAUUAAACAAACCCAAUUUUUCCAAUUUUCCCUCAUAGGUCAUGUUUUCUAGACCUUUAAUCAUUUGUUACUCUUCUCCAGACUUUCUCCAAUUUGUCCAGAUCUUUCCUGAAAUGUGGCGCCCAGAACUGGACACAAUACUCCAGCUGAGGCCUAAUCAGUGCAGAUAGAGUGGAAGAAUUACUUCUGGGGUCUUGCUUACAACACUCCUGCUAACAUAUCCCAGAAUAAGGUUUGGGUUUUUUGCAACAGCGUUAUACUGUUGAUUCAUAUUUAGCUUGUGGUCCACUGUGAUCCCCAGAUCCUUUUCCAUAGUACUCCUUCCUAAGCAGUCAUUUCCCAUUUUGUAUGUGUGCAACUGAUUGUUCCUUCCUAAAUGGAGAACUUUGCAUUUGUCCUUAUUGAAUUUCAUCCUAUUUACUUCAGAGCAUUUCUCCACUUUGUCCAGAUGAUUCUGAAUUUUAAUCACAUCCUCCAAAGCACUUGCAAUCCCUCCCAGCUUGGUAUCGUCCACAAACUUUACAAGUGUACUGUCUAUGCCAUCUAACUCCUUGACAAAGAUAUAGAGCCAAACCAGACCCAGAACUGAUCCCUGCAGGACCCCACUUGAUAUGCCCUUCCAGCAUGACUGUGAACCACUGAUAAAUACUCCACAGGAAUGGUUUUCCAGCUUGUUAUGCACCCACCUUAUAGUAGCUCUAUCUAGGGUGCAUUUCCCUAGUUUGUUUAUGAAACUGUCAAGAGAGUCUGAAAAGCCUCACUAAAAUCAAGAUAUACCACAUCUACUGCUUCCCCUGCCCCCCACAAGGCUUGUUUCGCUGUCUAAGAAAGCGAUCAGAUUGGCUUGACACGAUUUGUUUUUGACAAAUCCAUGCUGACUGUAACUGAUCCCCUUAUCUACACAAAGUUUUUAAAAGAAAAAAAAAAGAGUAAGACUGCGUAACAAUUGUUAAUAGCGAAUUGGGAGAUUUCGGAGAUGUUAGAGGCACACAGUACGCCUUACAAUGAGGAGGUAGCGUUACAAUGAGAAGCGACCAAAUGAAGAUGUUGCUCCACAUUUCACUACACCCUAUAAAACAAAAACCCUCCAAUAGUUAAAAGAAAUUGUAUAUCUUUGAUACAACAAGGCCAAGCCAUGCAGUUGGGCUCUAUUGACGGAUCCUAGCUUUUUAUGAAGACCCUAGAUAUUGGCAAACCAAAAUAACGUAGACUUGAUUUUUAAAAAACAAAAACAAAAACAAAGUUACUGUAUUCUAAUUUUAUUGAAAGACAUGCAUCAUAGUUGCUGUUAUGGUCUGACCAAUUAAUUAUUAUUUGUGAGAAUCGCAUUUAAGAACUCACUGAAAUUAACAAAAUCUCUAGUUUUAAUGUGCAGCAUUUUUCAAGACAACCCUUUCCAUUCCCACUAUGAAGACAAUAGAGCAGAAUCUCAGCUGGUGUAAUUUGUCAUUGCUCCACUUGUUAAAUGGAGCAAUGACAAUUUACAUCAGCUGAGGAUCUGUGCCAUGUUAAGAAGAGAGACAUUAUAUGAUCAAACAUCUGCACCCAUGGUUUCCAAAGAUAACAAUGGCUUUAUUCACAUUAAACACAAGAGGAACACUUUACUAUGCAUCAACAAUGUAGUAAGAAAAAAAAAAAUCAGUUUCUGAAACUGCUGUCACUGAGCCCAAACAGUUAACACUUACUUAAAUAGCUAAAAAUUCACGAAGGUGUUGCUUUGAAAUACAAACAGUUAUACAGAAGCCACAAUCUGAUGCAAAACCCUCGGGCACAGAAGAAAGGAAAAACAAACAACUAAUUUUAGAUCUUGAGUACUCAUUAGUGAUUCUCACCAAUUAGAAUAUGAUGCAACUGCUGUCAACAGGCAAAUUUUAGAUAUAUUUUAAACAAGUGUUUGGAAUAUUUAUGCCUAAAUUAUUUUACUGUAAAAAGAAUAUUGAACAUAAUUGGUGAGCAAUAUAGAGACUCUGACCUGUUGAACUAGUGCUCCGGCUCUCGCAUUUCACUGGUUAAAUGGAUGCUGUGCUUGAAAGGUAUUCCUGCACCGUGAAUCCCCAGUUUAUAGGUUUUACUGUUAUCCUUUUAGUUUGCCUCUGUAGUAGAUCCAGGAUAAAAUUUUCAGAAGCACCUGGAGUGACUUAGGAACCUAAUCCCACAGAAAGUCAGUGGGACUCAGGAACUUUUGACAUUUCUACCUCUAGUUUUUCAGGUCAAUUUUGACCUGCACCUAAGUUUCCAAAAGCAGCAAGCAAGUUUUCAGGUGGAGAAAACUUAAAGGGAUCUGAUUAUCAGAAUGUCAGAGCUCAGCAUUUGCUGGGGGGGGGGAAAUCAGCCUCCAUUAUGGAGUCUCGAGUUGGACCCCAAAAAAUUGAGGCAAGCAACAAAACAAAAAGAGCCACUAGUCACUUUUGGAAGCUCUUGGCCAUCUGAGACCAUUUCUUUCUGAUGUCUCUAUUUUGGAACUCCCUAUUAAUGGUUAUAAUACCUCUUAGGAGUCGAAAGGGCCAUGUUUAAGUCCAAGGAGCAGAAGCUAGCAAGAGUCUCUCUCCAAUUGUACAGGGCUGCGAUUAGAACACUGUGCAGAAUAGAGCACACCAAGCAGCAGUCUUUGGUGGCACUAAAUGAGCAUCCUUGCUGAAGGCUCUGAGAACAUUCAAUGGGUCCAGUUCACCACUGCCUUGUACCAUGCACAAUCACUACCCUGUGCAAGGCAUAAUCACUAGUGCCAAGCAAGUAACACUGCAAAAAUCAGAACAGCAGUGUUUUAUACAAGCUUUGCAGUGGUACAGAAGACUACUCAAUGUGAAUCUGACCUCUUUUUUGGACAGCAGUGGUGGGGGGGAGGGAAGUUCAUGAGUUGUGUGCCUUCUUCAGUUUAAGUCCUUCUCCAUUCUUUUUUAGCCUCUUCUCUUCAAACUGAGACUAGUGCCUUUUUUUUUUUUUUUUAAAUAGGUGGCACAGACUGGGAGCAGAAAUGCCUGUUUUAAGGCUUGAGAAUGAUGAAGGGAAAUCUUUUUCUGUGGGCACACUCUGAAGCACUGUUUUGAUUAAAACACUGGGGCAUUUUAUCAGUCCCUCUUCCCCACCAAAAUGGAAAAAAAAUCCUGUACUACUGUAUAUUUUGGUGAGCAAAAGAUCAGAUAGCUUUCUUCUUUUUUCACUAGAAUAAGCUGGCUGUCAGAAGAAGAGCUUUAAAAGCAUUCCAUCAAAAAGACAGGCAUGCUCUUUAAAUCAGAAAAAAAAACAGCUGCCACAUGACCAAAUAAUGGCCAAUAUUUUGCUCCCAACUACCAGUGCAGCUCCUCCUGGCUUCAGGUUUCAUUCAUCAAGUAUUCGUGAGCACAGAAAAGGAUAUUUAAAGCAGCUUUGUUAAGCCAAGUCUCAAAAUCUAGAUUUUCCUUACAUAGGUUUCCAUGCUAUGAAUGCAAAAUCCCUCAAAGCAGCAGCUGGCAGAAAGUGCAUGUACUUGGGCAUCACAGCAACAUGUAUGUACUGAAGAGCUGCAGCAUCCCAUAUGAAGUGAGAUUUCACCUGUCACUGCUGCUGGCAAGUGCACGCUGCAGCCAGGAGUUCGCUAGAAUGAUCCAGCACUAUCCAGAUUACUUGAUUCAGAAUUCUAAUACUCCAGUUCCCAAACAUAUCUAAAUACUGUAUGUACAAUGGCAUGACAAAACCACCCAUUACCUGAUUUUACUGUGAGCUUCCCGAUAAACAGUGGCUAAUUUAAAUUGCUGCAAGGUGAAUCUGGUCAGUAAAAAUAAAUCCUAUGCUCAGUGGAAUGAAGUCAUGCAUCAUGGCAAUAUGUAUCCUCUCCCUUUCCCCACACACAUUGCUAUUUACUCACUUCCUGCCAUUCCCCUCAUGCCCAUAAGAAAAAAAAAAAUGGAAAAAAGAGAUAAAGGAAUAGCAGCAGCAGCCAUCUCAUCCCUCACCUUGAUUGCUCUGUUUGAAUGCUCUUUCUCCCUCCUUUCACCUGUUAGCUUCUGGGGGGAAGGAAGAGAAAAGGGUCAUUAUUUAGACUAAGUUCAUCAGGGAAGGAUCUGUGUCUGCCUGUGUGCAGCAGCACCCAGCCCAAUCUGACCACAUUACAAACACCCGUACCAGCUACCUCCAUGCUUUUUUCUCCCCCUCUCUUUCACUGAAGAAAUAUCAGCCUACAAAUGGAGAAACUAGGGCUUCCAACCAGAACAGCUGGUCUUCAAUUGACCUUACCAGGUGGGCAAUGUAACAGGCUCCCCUCAUUAGUACAGAAAUGCAGUCUGAACAGGACAUACACAAUAAUUUAUAUUUUCCUCCUAUCCUUGGCCUCCCAAACAUUCCCAGAGAGAUGCAGAUGUCAAUGUUAACUGAGAGCCACUCCACCUAAGUCAAUGGAGUUACACCUGGGUCAGCGUUAUGUAAAAAUACAGCCUGCAGAUUUACUCAGACAAAAAGUGAACAGCAGUUUGCUUCAGUUAAAAAUAUGGCCCUUACCUUUUAAGCCUGAGCUCCUGAAGACUACGGGCUACUGGGAUUUUAGGCACUUUUGAAAAAAAAAAAAAAAAAUCCCACUAGGAGCCUAAAUACUUUUUAAAAAAUGGCCCUAAGGGUUCAGGAUUUGGCUCUGCGAUAGCAGAAUAAAUUUGUUGAAAUAUUUAAAAGCACUGUAUAAUUAAGCCUUAAGAAUGACUGCUUGCUGCCAUGCGAGAGUAUAAAGAAUCACAAUUCAGUUAGAGCACAACAGCAACUAUGAUGUAUGUUUUGUAAUAAAAUUAAACGACAGUAACUUAAAAGCAAACAGAAAUUAGUUUCUUUCUCUCAUAAUUCCUCAUAUUAAGGUUAUAUACUGGAUAAAGUGCAAUUUUAUUACUAUACCCGUAGGCUCCUGAACACAUCAUGCCACAUGUUCGGCUGGCUGCUAAAAAGCAGCCGCCAAGAGAUUAGCAUUUGUUCCAAAGAUAGUUGAGAUUAAUAGUUUGAAACUUUUUUUUUUAAUUUACCCAUAAAACUCAACAUUUAAAUUAGAGCCAACUUUAACAAUGCUUUCUUUCCAAAAGCUACCAGCAUGUUAGUCCUUAAAAGCUGAUCAGAACAGGGACAGGGUCUUCAUCAUACUUUCUAUAAUUGAAUAGACAAUGAAAACUAUUCAUGUUACAUAAUUUAAGUAUACAAGGAAAGAAACACCCCAGGUGAAACCCUAGCCCUAUUAAGAGGGUCAUUGACUCGUUAUCAGUCAAUGAAUCCAGGUUUUCACCCCCCUGCUGCUCACAGAAAGUGGACACUCCUAACAGAAGCCACAUCACAUUCCUGGACAGUGAGAUUUUUUAGGAGAUAUUGAACUGCACUGCUCCUCAACCUUUUCUAGGAGGAUGGAAUGGAGAGUAGGACUUCACAACUCAGCCAAGACCUACUUGUCCAACAGCAGAUCUCAGUAAGACAAUCAGAAGCUAUUGUACACACUAGCUAAUGAACAUCAAGUCUCUAUGCUAGCUUAUGCAAAUCCUUCAUUAGUUCUGAGUAAAGGCUCCUCUUUUCCCAAAGUGCGAUAGAAAACUGGUGCAAAUAGCUUUCUAUAUCAUAUUGAAGUGGAUCUCUCAAGGGAAAGGUGGGCGGGGGGGAAGAAGAGAGCAAGCACACACAACACAACCUCACUUCUUCACCCUUAAAAAAAACAGAAGACCCAGAAUAGGGCCUGACCCCACAGAGUUGAGAACAAUGGCUUUAUAGAACCUAUAAAUCUCACGCAAAACAGAAAGUUGUGGCACCACCACUAUGUUUCUCUGAUAUCCAGAUUCUAUUCUAUCCUCUGAUAAUGGAUUACUCUCCGCCUCCCCCUUUGCAUUGACUGAAUUCCCCUUUCCCCCAAAUCACAUUUGCUGUAGCUGUUAGUAUACUCAGCUUCCAGCAUCACUUAAAGAUUUUACAAAGCUCUGUCCUGGCACUGUUUGAUGUGAAUCAGUUCUAUAAGCCUGCUAACAAUAUUAAAGCUCUUCCUUAGUUUUCUCUUCAGAAGCAUACCAGCAAGCUCAGCUCCCAGUGCACAAAAACCACACACAAAAACACACACACACACACGAGAAGAGGGGAGUAUUUGACAUUUUUAUCAGCAAGCCACUUCCUGGAACAUAAAGCAUAUUUAAAAAGGCAUUGAAAAUAAGAAUAAUUAAAUUGUAAGACAUGUCAUCUUCGUAAAAGCCAUAGGACUAAAUAAAAAGUCUUGGAGAGCCCUCUCCUGUACAUUCCAUAUUUAUCUAUGAAAGGGAAGUGCAGGAGUGCACACCUUGCUCUAGAAAAUCUUGGAUAAACAAGACCAGUCUUAUUCAGCACCUUUGAAGAUUUUGAAAGUGGCAUUUGAUUAGCUCAAAGGCACAAGCUCCUAGGAAACAGACAAAACACAAUACUAAAGACUUCUCCCCCUGCCCCCACCCCCCCCCCAAAAAAACCCAACUAAAAGAAGUUUAGUCUUCAUACUUGCUGAGCGAAAACACUAAAAGCUACCAUCAUCAUGCCUUUAAAAAAGUUGGAGGUGGAUAUAUGUUCGGUCAACUAAGUUGGUUAACUAAUUAGGUCAUGUCAAUUUUUUUUUUUUUUAAAUCCACCUUUUUACACAUUUCUCCUAGGAAAACAGAAACAAGCUUAUCGCUCCAUAGAUGCCAGGUACUAUAACUAGUCACUAGUCACGAAAUGCAUAACAGAACACAAACAUUCCUUACCUCAGUGAAGCAGAUUAUUAAGAAUGCUAUUGUAUUGUUAAUAUUUAGGCCUUUUCUUAUUCAUUGACACAAUGAAUUUAGCGGCAUGAGUGAGCAGACCCCUUAGCAACCCUUAGUUGUUUUUACUUUCAUCUUAGUUUGAUUUUUAACUAUUGCAAUUACCAGGGACAAGUUCACAGUUAAAUGUACUAUAUGAGCACUGCAGGAAGAGCAAACGCUUCCAAUAGAUUUUCCUCAUGGUUACUGCUGGAGUAGAGAACAAGACACUUAUACAAAAGUAAAAAUCCAUUACAAUUCUGUUAGAGGACUGCUAAGGUGAAGUGUUAUUUUCUAUAUGACCUCAUACUUUAUUUUACAAUGUUAAAUUGUCUUUUUUUAUGUUGCUUCACUAAUGAAAGUGAUUGGGGAAGGAGAGGGGGAGAGACAAAGUAACGAUCUUAUCUCUUGUUUAAAGGCAGCUGGAAAUAAAGUUUGUCCCACAUGAAAUAAACAUCUGCAUUCCCUAAGCGUCUGAACUCAGGUUUAAAAACAAAAAGAAACAAAAACAAAACAAAAAAAACGAAGUAUAUUUUGUUUCAGAUA
Molecule: long non-coding RNA, 8236 nt
Organism: Dermochelys coriacea (leatherback sea turtle)
Lineage: Eukaryota; Metazoa; Chordata; Testudines; Dermochelyidae
Exons: 2
Source: RefSeq, a predicted model, not a curated record